GUCAAGCAAUUAAGCGUACGUGGUGGAUGCCUUGGCAGCUAGAGGCGAUGAAGGACGUGGUAGGCCACGAAAGGCUUCGGGGAGCAGUCAAACAUGCUUUGAUCCGGAGGUGUCCGAAUGGGGAAACCCACCCGAUUUAUCGGGUAUCGCUAACUGAAUACAUAGGUUAGCGAGGCGAACGCGGAGAACUGAAACAUCUAAGUACCCGCAGGAAAAGAAAUCAACCGAGAUUCCCAAAGUAGCGGCGAGCGAAAUGGGAUUAGCCCUUAAGUUACAGUGGAUUUAGCAGAACGCUCUGGAAAGUGCGGCAAUAGAGGGUGAUAGCCCCGUAUGCGAAAGGUCCAUUGUAGUGAAAUCGAGUAGGUCGGGACACGUGAAAUCCUGACUGAACAUGGGGGGACCAUCCUCCAAGGCUAAAUACUCCUAGCUGACCGAUAGUGAACUAGUACCGUGAGGGAAAGGCGAAAAGAACCCCGGGAGGGGAGUGAAAUAGAUCCUGAAACCGUGUGC
This 510-nucleotide ribosomal RNA is filed under the name Oxyrrhis marina. RNAcentral's name for it is "partial Bacterial large subunit ribosomal RNA". It matches the Rfam family "Bacterial large subunit ribosomal RNA", at positions 1 to 563 of the family's 2925-position model. Lineage: Eukaryota; Dinophyceae; Oxyrrhinales; Oxyrrhinaceae. The record is from RNAcentral.